RNAcentral lists this ribosomal RNA (388 nucleotides) under Crustomastigaceae sp. Its description in RNAcentral is "partial small subunit ribosomal RNA". It matches the Rfam family "Eukaryotic small subunit ribosomal RNA", at positions 582 to 975 of the family's 1831-position model. Lineage: Eukaryota; Viridiplantae; Chlorophyta; Mamiellophyceae; Dolichomastigales; Crustomastigaceae. The record is from RNAcentral.
AUUCCAGCUCCAAUAGCGUAUAUUUAAGUUGUUGCAGUUAAAAAGCUCGUAGUUGGAUUUCGGGCGGGGUUGGCCGGUCCGCCGUUUCGGUGUGCACUGGCUGGUUUCGUCUUAUUGUCGAGGACGCGCUUCUGGCCUUUACUGGUCGGGACGCGGAGUCGGCGCAGUUACUUUGAAAAAAUUAGAGUGUUCAAAGCGGGCAUACGCUUGAAUAUAUUAGCAUGGAAUAACACUAUAGGACCUCGGUUCUAUUUUGUUGGUUUCUAGAGCUGAGGUAAUGAUUAAUAGGGAUAGUUGGGGGCAUUCGUAUUUAACUGUCAGGGGUGAAAUUCUUGGAUUUGUUAAAGACGGACUACUGCGAAAGCAUUUGCCAAGGAUGUUUUCAUCA